Molecule: ribosomal RNA, 435 nt
Filed under: uncultured Oscillospiraceae bacterium
Lineage: Bacteria; Bacillati; Bacillota; Clostridia; Eubacteriales; Oscillospiraceae
Description: partial 16S ribosomal RNA
Rfam family: Bacterial small subunit ribosomal RNA
Source: RNAcentral
ACGGGAGGCAGCAGUGGGGAAUAUUGGGCAAUGGGCGAAAGCCUGACCCAGCGACGCCGCGUGAGGGAAGAAGGUCUUCGGAUUGUAAACCUUAAUAGCAGGGAAGAAGCAAGUGACGGUACCUGUGGAGAAGCCACGGCUAACUACGUGCCAGCAGCCGCGGUAAUACGUAGGUGGCGAGCGUUAUCCGGAUUUACUGGGUGUAAAGGGUGUGUAGGCGGGAUAGCAAGUCAGAUGUGAAAUGAAUGGGCUCAACCCAUUAACUGCAUUUGAAACUGCAAUUCUUGAGUGUCGGAGGGGUAAAUGGAAUUCCCGGUGUAGCGGUGAAAUGCUUAGAUAUCGGGAGGAACAUCUGUGGCGAAGGCGAUUUACUGGACGACAACUGACGCUGAAACACGAAAGCGUGGGGAGCAAACAGGAUUAGAUACCCUGGUA